This 895-nucleotide long non-coding RNA is filed under the name Hordeum vulgare. RNAcentral's name for it is "long non-coding RNA (HVUL_LNC013622)". The record is from RNAcentral. Lineage: Eukaryota; Viridiplantae; Streptophyta; Magnoliopsida; Poales; Poaceae.
GCAAGUCUAAUGAAAGGAAGGAUGCUAUACUUAUUGCCUUGGAAAUUGCAUAUGUGAGAAAUAUUGCAUUGGCUAGUUAAAACUAAUGUCUCACAAUUCAUCUUGGUUGAUGAAAUUUCAGAUUUGAGUCCUAUAAACCCGAAAGAAGGGAGUAUUAGAGAAAAAUAGCUUAUCCACGAGCGGCUCUGCGGUUCUAGUAGUACCACGCACGCAGGCGAUAAAUUUGAUGGGGGUAGAAAACUAGGCCAAUAUAUUGUUUCCAACGCGAACGAAACGUGUCGGUUUCCAUCUCGCUGUCGGCGUCACCACUCCCCACCCAAACGGACGGGGAGCGAGCUCUCCUACUCAUACACGAUUGCCCAUACACGAGUACUGUAUCACUAAACUACUCCGCCAGAGGACCUAGCAGACCGUUGUUAUAUGUAUCUCUCUCUCUGACACGUGCGGUCAGAGGCACCCAUGGCUCACUUGUCAGUGACAGGAGCUCGCUGUAGAACGUGUGUCAAGGCGCGUAGUAAAGUAGUCUAUGGAGCACGCCGGUGCCUUUGUUUAACGCCGAUAGAGACGACCUUCGGGGAGGGGGGAAUUUGUCGUGGACGUCCUCCGGCGAUUGGCAAAUCGCAUCAGCGUCUCGGUGAACGGAGGUUGUUGGUUCGUUGGUUGGUUGCUGUUAUCCUUAUCUUCACGUCUGAGCUCACUGCAUCUUCCACGGCCGCCGGGUCAAACAUAGAGUUCCAGUCACAAUAAUUGUAUGCUAAAGAGAAAGAGUUGUUAGGAGGAGAUGCUUUUAACUUUUAAUUUCAUGUCUAAAGUCACUAGUAGGAAGAGAAAAAUAAAUAUAUACUACUCCCUUCGUUCCUAAAUAUAAGACCUUUUAGAAAUUGCACUAUAAACU